Molecule: ribosomal RNA, 690 nt
Filed under: uncultured bacterium
Lineage: Bacteria
Description: bacterial SSU rRNA
Rfam family: Bacterial small subunit ribosomal RNA
Source: RNAcentral
CCACUCUGAGAUCGGCCUGCGACCUAUCAGCUUGUUGGUGAGGUAACGGCUUACCAAGGCUAUGACGGGUAGGCGAUGUGAGAGCAUGAUCGCCAACAAUGGGAUUGAGAUACGGCCCAUACUCCUACGGGAGGCAGCAGUGGAGAAUCUUCCACAAUGGGCGAAAGCCUGAUGGAGCGACACCGCGUGCAGGAUGAAGCUCGUGAGAGUGUAAACUGCUUUUCUGGGGGAAGAACUUUUGUGACGGUACCUCAGGAAUAAGGGGAGGCUAACUCUGUGCCAGCAGCAGCGGUAAAACAGAGUCCCCGAGCGUUAUCCGGAAUUACUGGGCGUAAAGGAUUCGUAGGCGGCCUUGUAGGUCUGGUGUUAAAUCUCCUGGGCUUAACCUGGGAAAUGCAUUGGAAACCCCAAGGCUAGAAGACGUUAGGGGCGAGCGGAACGCACGGUGUAGGGGUGAAAUCCGUUGAUAUCGUGCGGAACACCAAAAGCGAAGGCAGCUCGCUGGGGCGAUCUUGACGCUGAGGAAUGAAAGCGUGGGGAGCAAAGAGGAUUAGAUACCCUCGUAGUCCACGCUGUAAACGAUGGAUACUAGCUGCCUGAAGUGUCGACCCUUCAGGUGGCGAAGCUAACGCAUUAAGUAUCCCGCCUGGGAAGUACGGUCGCAAGACUAAAACUCAAAUGAAUUGACGG